AAAUAUUAAUAUAAUAUAAAAAAUUUUUAUUUUAUUAAAAAUCAAAUAUGAUUUUAUUAAUCUAAAGUUAAGUUUUAAUUUUUUUACUGAGAAGGCAUAUUAAAUAAACAUAAAGUAGAAAAAUUUCUUAUCUUUGGUAUCAAAGUAAAUAGAAUAGAAAUUAAAUUAAAAUUUCCCGAAAUAAAAAGAUUUUUUAAUAUGAAAAUAAAAAGUGUCAAUUUUAUUUACAAAUAUUGAAGGAAUUAAGAAAUUAUUCGUUUUUUAUUAUCUGGUUCUUUAAAUUUGUUAGAGGCUAAAAUUUUAUAAAUAUAAAAGAUAAGUUUUAUAUUUUAAAUUAUACAAUUUAUAUUUCCAUUAAUUUACUUUAUGAAAUCCUCAUUGCAUAAAUUGGAAUUUUAGACCUUAAAAAUUUUUAUUUUUAAAUUAUCAAUUAAAGAAAGAUAAAAAUUAAAAAAAAUUUAAUUUUAUUAUUUAAUUAUUAUUUAAUUAAUUUGAAAAUGAAUGUUUUUAUAUGGAAUCAACAUAAUAACGACAGUUUAACAAAAACAUAGUUUUAUAAAUUUUUAUAAAGUUAAAUCCUGCUCCAUGAAAUUUAAAUAGCUGCGGUAAAUCGUGCAAAGGUAGCAUAAUCAAUUGUCUUUUUAUUAAGGUCUGGAAUAAAAGAUUAAACGAUUUUUAUGUAUUUGUAUGAAGAUCUUAAAAAAUUUAAAUUUUGAAUCAAAAUGUUCAAAUUUUUUAAAGGGACGAGAAGACCCUAAAAUUUUUAUAAAUAAAACUUAUAUAAGUAAAAUUUAUUUAAUUGGGGAAAUUUUUUGACUAAACUCAUUAUAAAAAAACCAUAUUUUAUGAAUUAAUAAGAGAAACUCUAAAUUAAAGAAUAAUUACUUUAGGGAUAACAGCACAAUAAUAAAAAAGGAGAUCUAAUUUAAUUUUAUGAUUGUGACCUCGAUGUUGAAUUAAGAUAACUUUAUUUGUAGAAAUUUAAAGUUUUAGACUGUUCGUCUACUCGGUCUUACAUGAUUUGAGUUCAGACCGACGUAAGUCAGGUCAGAUUCUAUCUUUUUUAAUUUAUCGUGUGUACGAAAGGAUAAUGAAUAAAAAAUUAAAAAUUUUGACUAAUUGUAA
RNAcentral lists this ribosomal RNA (1125 nucleotides) under Liposcelis entomophila. RNAcentral describes it as "16S ribosomal RNA". The record is from RNAcentral. Lineage: Eukaryota; Metazoa; Arthropoda; Insecta; Psocodea; Liposcelididae.